This is a long non-coding RNA of Nematostella vectensis (starlet sea anemone), 5483 nucleotides long. RefSeq lists it as uncharacterized. The record is from RefSeq and is a predicted model, not a curated record. The transcript has 2 exons. Lineage: Eukaryota; Metazoa; Cnidaria; Anthozoa; Actiniaria; Edwardsiidae.
CUUCUUUCGCCCCAUCUUGCUCAAAGUUCCUGUUUCAAAGUUUACUGAUGACAAAUAUUCCAGCGUUCGUCUUCAAGUCCGGUGAACUUGGAGAAAUCUGGGUCCAAUCUUGAAAGUUAGAGCACGUUUCUAACUGAAAGGAAAUAAAAGGGGGACCUAAGCAAGCCCUCCUGGUUGCGAUACUACAAUGGCAGAAAUGUGAGAAUCCAAUGGCGUGGAAUGAUGUCAUUUUAUCGCUUCCUCUGCUUCGUCCUCUUGCAGAGGGGAAUUUUUUCGAUGCCAAAAUGAUCUCAUUUUCGAGUCAUUCUAGCAAAGAUUUCUGCUAAUUCAUCGUUCACAAGAUAAAAAGAAUAGUUUCUAGCUGCAUUGGGGGAAUGUCAAUACGAAGUUGCAGGGUAGAAUGCGAAUUAUCACCGGUUAAAUAUCAGCUUUGCUGCAGCCCGGAAAUAGAGAAAGCACUUACGAAGGCAGAAGGCUUCCCGCCAUUUUGGAUGUUUCAGGAAAUUUGGGACUCAAAAUAUCAGGAAUCGAGGCAGCUAAAGAUGAAAAUUGUACAAAUAUAUAUAGACCUUAGAUAAAAUCAAGGUAAACUUUAUAUUUGAUAAAGAAAAGUUAGGUUUUCUAGCUAUACGGUUCAUCUCUAAUGUUUUGCUAAACGAGUUAUCGUGUGUGAUGAGGAACCUUUCUUGGCGUUCACAACGAAUCAAAUAAUCUACUCGUAAAACCGCCAAUUGCUGAAUUUGUAUAAAAUAAUCGCCUAGCUCUUCACCUGAAAGUUUCUAAAAAUAAAUCAAGAGAUCACGCUAAAAUAUCCGAGUCGGCGGAUUUGAAUAUAAUUAUACUUCAGUUGGAGCUUGAAAUUUUAUGACGCGAAAUAUUCCACCGGUGUAUCCAGGGGUCGUGUGAAUUAUUCGCUCGAUUGUUGGUUAUAAAUUCAUAACGCGUGCAAUUCUCACUUACGCUGAUCUGUAGCUGUAAAUGCAAAUAAUAUGGCUAAAAAUAGGUAAGAGCAGAGUUGUGUACCUUGGAAAUACAAUAACUUUCAGACGAUAAUGAUUUGGUACAAAGAGCGAGCUGGUAUGCUGAAAUGUAGAAUUCGACCAAGAAAAUAUAAGUAACAUCUACCAUAAUUGAGACAAAAUAAUACUCUUCUUUGCAAACGGAUGUACUACGAAAACACUAUACCAGCAAAGUGGACGAUUAACGAAGAGCUUCUGCUCUAUUCCGGUAAAUAUGGAGGCGAAAACUCAGCAAAAAAAUCACAGAGGCCGUAGCGUUUCUGCAGGAAAUGCUAAGAAAACUGCCUGUAUCAAUGGCGAAUUUUCCCCGAUUUGAUUUGUUUUGGUUAUUAAAAAAAUCUUGCAGACUCCUUGUACAACCUUAUAGCUGUUUAUACUUCUUAAGGGACGGAAAUAAAAUGCAAAGAGCUAUUUUUACCCACCAGUAAAUUGCGCUUGCUACAGCUGCCCCACAAAGGUCUAUUUGUGGCUCUAGACUCAAGUUUGCAUUUUAGGGACAGACCCUGGCUCAUUUGCAUAUUAGGAGCGGUGUGAUGUCACUAUGAUGUCAUACGAAAGUUUGGAGAUUUCAGGCCCCAAUCAGAAAGCUAAAUAUUUUCCUAGUUUGUGCAGAUGGUUUGAGAAACUAACAAGUCGGAAAAUUAGCGUAAAAGGGGCGUAACAGACGUAACGAACGUAAAUAAAUUAUUGCAUUCGUCCUUGAUUUUGGAUACGAUAUAUUAUACCUCUACAGCGAGAUAAGCAGCGUAAAAAUUUUAGGAAUUUUAUUUUUCUGAAUUUUAGACGCAAAAUAUUACAAAUACACAAGUAGCAAGAGCAGUUAUCAAAUUUAAAACUAUUUACUUUGGACAUAAAUGUACAUACUUUGAGACGUUUUUGUUCUUGAUCGAAAUAUUUUAUUUGGAUGUCAACAAACAUAACAAUUUUUGUCGUUUUGUCGUUAAGAAAAAUUCUCCCACGUCAUACAAGCUUCCUGCUCUCUGAUGAGUGACAGUCUUCGUUUGAAGCGUGAAUAUCGCAUAUGCAAAAAACAACUAUUUUUUCGUAAUUAGAGAGGCUUUCUCGUAAACUGAAUCCCGCUAUUAGCUCUUGGAAAAUAUCAGUUUAGGUAUUUCCGCCAUAAAAAUUGUGAAUCCGUAGAACUUUCGCUUUCAACCAUGGCCUAAAAGUCAUUUGCAGGGUUUUUCCCUUCAUAGAUUCCUGCGAGAUAAGCGGCAUAAAAAUUUUAGGAACUUAGAAAAAAAAUUUUCUGAAAUGUUAGACGCAAAAUAUUCGCCUUUGAGAAAAAAAAACAAGUAGCAAGAGAAGUUAUCAAGUUUAAAACUAUUUACUUUGGACAUAAAUGUACAUACUUUGAGACGUUUUCUUCUUUAUCGACAUGUUUUAUUUGGAUUUCAACAAACAUCAUUUUUUGUCGUUUUGUCGUUAAGAAAAAUUCUCCCAAACUUAAACCGAAUGCAGCACAAAUAGCCUGUGACGUCAUACAAGCUUCCUGCUCUCUGAUGAGUGACAGUCUUCGUUUGAAGCGUGAAUAUUGCAUAUGCAAAAAAAACAACUCUUUUUUCGUAAUUAUAGAGGCUUUCUCGUACAAUAAAUCCCGCUAUUACUUUUUGAAAUAUAUUUGGUUAGGUAGCCAUAGAAAUAGUGCAUCCGUAGAACUUUCGCUUUCAAUUAUGGCCUAAAAGUCAUUUGCAGGGUUAGAAUGAAAUCCAAGGAAGAAAUAAGGGGAAUAAGCAGAAAGGAUAUUAAGGGUAAACCAAAAAGAUAGACAAAAAGAAAACAGAAACAAACAAGAAAGAAAUCGCAUCGACUUAGUGAGACCUUCGGUUAUUAAAUUAUCGAUUUAUCGGGUUUUCGACCGUAGGAAAUACAUUUAUGACCCACAAGCACAAAUACUGGAAGAUUUGAAGAAAAAAAAAUAUGCGAGAUAUGUUAGAGAGCAGGCUUAUGCAACCCACUGGUAUUGAUAUGACUUCCGAAUUCGAUUUCAUUUAUAAAACAGCAUCCGUAAGCUAUGCUCGAUAAUAGCCUUUAAUGAUACUCAUUGGUGCUCCAUUAGCCUAAAGCCAAAGCCUUUGAAAGAAAAGAAAGUUUGAGUAUUUAUGGGGCAUUUCUGAAUUUGCAUAAUUUCACCAAACUAAACACACUAGAAAAAAAAAAUACCCUCUUAUAUUUAUAAGAACUUUUUUCUAAGAACGGCCAGUCAAGGUUUUACCAUAGUUCAAGAACACGUCGAGAGGCUCAGAUAGCUGUAAAAUAUUUGUAUUGUUAGUGCGAUACGUUCUGAAAUGCUGAGACAAAUUGUGUUUAUAAUAUUGACUACCUUCAAGGGUGGUAUAGGGUAUUUUCGUGAAACGAGAUUUAAUCAUUUUUCACCCUCCGAGAAACGUGAAAUGGUCCAUUUCCACGUCCCUGAAACGUGAUUAAUUUAACAAUUUAAAAGGCAAUUUUUCGGUCCUUGAAACGUGACAAGCCAUUUUGCCCGGUCCGUGAAACGUGAUCCAUACCCUCCUUUACCAUACUAUUGUUGUUGAUGAUUUGUGUAAUUCUCUUUUUCCAUUGCUACCACCAUUAUAUUUCUAUAUUUCUAAGAACAUUUUCAGCCUUAAAAUAUUCCAAGAUUAAGAACGGCCAAGUCUGAGGGAAGCGUAAGGGUUUGCGGUGAUGCGGUUUGCCUUAAAUCUGGCGCAGUUUUUCGUUUUUUUUUUCUCUAUACUGCGCGUUUUACGGUUAAUGACUUAUUACGGUUUUGCGUUUUUUGGCGUUUUUCUGUGCGGUCUUCGCAACCCCUUACGCCCCCCUCAAGUCUCAACUGAACUUUAGACGUUCUUUAAAGGAACCAGAUAAGGAAGGAUUACCCGUGUAAGAAUUUCCAAACAUAAGUACGAUUGCUCGUAAAGGAAUUUGUAAAAAGUGGCACAAACUAUCUUGUAAAAACUGCUGUUGCACUAUACACCUAUUUCAAAUAAGGUUGCACUCGGAGAAUCUAUAUGUCGUGAACUGGGGUGGUUCACAGGUAUCAAAUAAAGAAAUAAACAAACAAACAAAUGAACAAAUAAACAAACGAACAAAUGAAGUAAUGAACAAAUGAACAAACAAACAAAAUAAAUGAAUGAAUGAAAAAUAAACAAAUAAACAUCCAAAUAAAUAAAUAAAUAAGCGCAAAUAAAAACAAACACAGGUUUGGAAGCUUUAGCAUUCUUGUUUAUGUAACUCUAAACGCUAACACCGCUACACCACGUUCAGAUACCAGGAUUCAGCUAUUUGUACGUUACCCAUGAACCAUUGCGGGUUUUCGUUUAGUUAAAAGCGCGAACAUUUAUGAGCACAAUAUUUGGCAAGAGCCCGCGAUACCGUUCGCUUUUCUUCAGUUAACCUGUGGUUUAUUUAUAUGUCAUUUGUGGGAGACUGGAUAUUGCGCGACAUGUGCAAAAGCUGCAUCAGGCGCCAAAAUAAAUCACAGGAGUGACUUGGUAUAAGGAAAUGUGGACUUUAAAAGCACACUAGCAUACACACAUUGGCACCAGUCGGCCGAAGACGGGACGGUAGCACAGUCUAUUACCCGUGCAGUUCGGCAACCAUGGACAGCUGUUUCGUCCUUAUUAGGACUCGUCAGCAUGGCAUUGCCGAUGAAGUUUAACUGAGGCAAACCGCAGAGCGAACAAACGCAGCUAUAGGUGAAACACUAACAACAGGAAGUCCUGUCGCACCACCUGGUGACCCUUUUCAUGGACUUUCUACCACUGAGUUGGAAAGAAUUUGUUUGAAGGAAAUAGAGGAGCACUGCAUUUCCUGGAAAGAAGAAAAUACCUGGUCAAUGGCUUAUGAAAUUGCACAGCGUAUUCAUGAGUAGCCUGGUCCAGGCAAGAAUGACUUUCUGGUCUCCAUUGCAAGCUACCACCCAGAUAGGCAUAUUCACCACCCAGAUAGGCAUAUUCACCACCCAGAUAGGCAUAUUCACCACCCAGAUAGGCAUAUUAACCUCUCGAAGUAUCUUUUGAAAUGGAGGAAAGCUUCUCCAUCCCAGCGACGCAAAAUAUGCGGGAAUGGAGGGUUUUUUUUUUCAAAACUUCAGAGGUUGAAGGAAACCCAAGUGAAGCAAGGACAAUACUACCUUGAAUACUUGAAGCUUUUCCUGUGAUACUACCUGCAAUACUUGAAGCUUUUACUGUGAUACUACCUGCAGUGGAUGCAAGGAAGGAUGGACCGGUGGCAUUCCCGUUACACGAUCUCCGUUGCCAGCCCAUGACUCCUUUCACCGGGAAAGUAUCUGCAAAUUGAGGCGACUUUCCCGAGAAAAAUCGAUAGUAUUCUGCCAAGCAUCCAACUGAAGCUAUUUCUUGAAAAAAAAAACUGACUAGUUCUGAUAACCAGGCAGUACGACAAGCAUACUCAAAGCUCAACGUCGAAGAAAACACUUGCAGAGAAUAUUCAGCACCUUGAAUUCUUGGCUUUAAAGGCGGA